GUCGAGACAUAGCAUAGUGGUAGUGGUGCGUGUGCCUGAUGAGAAGGCCGCGGGUUCGAUUCCCCCUUCGGCA
This 73-nucleotide transfer RNA is filed under the name Hordeum vulgare. RNAcentral describes it as "tRNA-OTHER". The record is from RNAcentral. Lineage: Eukaryota; Viridiplantae; Streptophyta; Magnoliopsida; Poales; Poaceae.